Molecule: ribosomal RNA, 497 nt
Filed under: uncultured bacterium
Lineage: Bacteria
Description: partial 16S ribosomal RNA
Rfam family: Bacterial small subunit ribosomal RNA
Source: RNAcentral
GAUGAACGCUGGCGGCGUGCCUAAUACAUGCAAGUCGAGCGAACAGACGAGGAGCUUGCUCCUCUGACGUUAGCGGCGGACGGGUGAGUAACACGUGGAUAACCUACCUAUAAGACUGGGAUAACUUCGGGAAACCGGAGCUAAUACCGGAUAAUAUAUUGAACCGCAUGGUUCAAUAGUGAAAGACGGUUUUGCUGUCACUUAUAGAUGGAUCCGCGCCGCAUUAGCUAGUUGGUAAGGUAACGGCUUACCAAGGCAACGAUGCGUAGCCGACCUGAGAGGGUGAUCGGCCACACUGGGACUGAGACACGGUCCAGACUCCUACGGGAGGCAGCAGUAGGGAAUCGUCCGCAAUGGGCGAAAGCCUGACGGAGCAACGCCGCGUGAGUGAUGAAGGUCUUCGGAUCGUAAAACUCUGUUAUUAGGGAAGAACAAAUGUGUAAGUAACUAUGCACGUCUUGACGGUACCUAAUCAGAAAGCCACGGCUAACUACGUG